GUAGAACGCUGAAGCUUGGUGCUUGCACCGAGCGGAUGAGUUGCGAACGGGUGAGUAACGCGUAGGUAACCUGCCUGGUAGCGGGGGAUAACUAUUGGAAACGAUAGCUAAUACCGCAUAAUAGUAGAUGUUGCAUGACAUUUGCUUAAAAGGUGCAAUUGCAUCACUACCAGAUGGACCUGCGUUGUAUUAGCUAGUUGGUGAGGUAACGGCUCACCAAGGCAGCGACACAUAGCCGACCUGAGAGGGUGAUCGGCCACACUGGGACUGAGACACGGCCCAGACUCCUACGGGAGGCAGCAGUAGGGAAUCUUCGGCAAUGGACGGAAGUCUGACCGAGCAACGCCGCGUGAGUGAAGAAGGUUUUCGGAUCGUAAAGCUCUGUUGUAAGAGAAGAACGAGUGUGAGAGUGGAAAGUUCACACUGUGACGGUAUCUUACCAGAAAGGGACGGCUAACUACGUGCCAGCAGCCGCGGUAAUACGUAGGUCCCGAGCGUUGUCCGGAUUUAUUGGGCGUAAAGCGAGCGCAGGCGGUUAGAUAAGUCUGAAGUUAAAGGCUGUGGCUUAACCAUAGUACGCUUUGGAAACUGUUUAACUUGAGUGCAAGAGGGGAGAGUGGAAUUCCAUGUGUAGCGGUGAAAUGCGUAGAUAUAUGGAGGAACACCGGUGGCGAAAGCGGCUCUCUGGCUUGUAACUGACGCUGAGGCUCGAAAGCGUGGGGAGC
Molecule: ribosomal RNA, 725 nt
Filed under: uncultured Streptococcaceae bacterium
Lineage: Bacteria; Bacillati; Bacillota; Bacilli; Lactobacillales; Streptococcaceae
Description: bacterial SSU rRNA
Rfam family: Bacterial small subunit ribosomal RNA
Source: RNAcentral